GACGAACGCUGGCGGCGUGCUUAACACAUGCAAGUCGAACGGAAAGGCCCUGCUUUUGUGGGGUGCUCGAGUGGCGAACGGGUGAGUAACACGUGAGUAACCUGCCCUGGACUUUGGGAUAACUUCAGGAAACUGGGGCUAAUACCGGAUAUGAGCUCCUGCUGCAUGGUGGGGGUUGGAAAGUUUCGGCGGUUGGGGAUGGACUCGCGGCUUAUCAGCUUGUUGGUGGGGUAGUGGCUUACCAAGGCUUUGACGGGUAGCCGGCCUGAGAGGGUGACCGGCCACAUUGGGACUGAGAUACGGCCCAGACUCCUACGGGAGGCAGCAGUGGGGAAUAUUGCACAAUGGGCGGAAGCCUGAUGCAGCAACGCCGCGUGCGGGAUGACGGCCUUCGGGUUGUAAACCGCUUUCGCCUGUGACGAAGCGUGAGUGACGGUAAUGGGUAAAGAAGCACCGGCUAACUACGUG
RNAcentral lists this ribosomal RNA (468 nucleotides) under uncultured bacterium. Its description in RNAcentral is "partial 16S ribosomal RNA". It matches the Rfam family "Bacterial small subunit ribosomal RNA", at positions 28 to 507 of the family's 1533-position model. The record is from RNAcentral.